This 5073-nucleotide long non-coding RNA is filed under the name Cicer arietinum (chickpea). RNAcentral describes it as "long non-coding RNA (CARI_LNC000736)". The record is from RNAcentral. Lineage: Eukaryota; Viridiplantae; Streptophyta; Magnoliopsida; Fabales; Fabaceae.
UAUUUUCUUAUUUUUUGUCAUUUUCUAUUCACCUUUCUCUCUCAUUCUCCACCAUCAACUUGCCGUGUUUCUCUCCCCGUGCUCUCCUCUUCAUCCCCAUCUCCACUAAUGUUCUCUUCUCCUUCUCCACUGCCACUAUCGUGCUCCUCUCCACCGUCACCCUCAAGGUAUAGUUUUUUACUGUUUUCCUUCUUUUCAUAUUUGCCCUAAUUUCAUUUGAUUUUUUUUUAUUGUGUUGAUGAAAUAAUUUUUUGAUUUUAUCUGAUUUUAUGAUUGUUUUAUGUUUGUUGAUAUUGAGUUGAUGUCAUGAUUGUUGACGUUGGGUGAUUUCCUCUUUUUAUAUUUGUCCUAAUGUGUUUGAUUAUUUUCUGAUUUAUUUUAUUUUACAACAUGAUAAAAACUAUGAUUGUUUUUUUUAUUGUGUUCAUAUUAAAAUGUUGAAAAAGUAAACGAGGAUUUCUUAUUGUUUUUUUGUGUGCUCAUAUUUGCUCUUUUUUCUCUAUAUCUUUGAUGUUUGAGUUUUAUGUUAAUUGUUUUUUAUAUAUAUUUACUAAUAAUAAACAUGUUUCAAAAAAAAUGAUGGAGAAUAAUAAUAGUUUUCCUCUGCCAUCUAUAGUAUGUGUUAUGAUUUAUUAAUAUUCUAUUUUGUGUUGAUGGAUAAUAAUAAUAAUAAUAAUAAUAAUAAUAAUAAUAAUAAUAAUAAUAAUAAUAAUAAUAUUGUUGAUACUUGAUAUAUAAGUAAAUUUGAAUUUGCAAGAAUAAAAUGAUGUGAUGCUAUAUUUAUUGUCAAAGCAAAUACUUUUAGAGAUUGUUAGAUUUUGUUUAACAAUUUUUAUUAUCGUGAGUCAUUUUUAUGAUUCUUGGACAUGCGUAUUAAAAAAUAAUAAAUUUAGUCUUUUUUUACUUUAUUUAUUAAAUAAAAAUAAAAUUAAUUCCAUACAUGUUUUUUGAGUUUUUAAGAGUAGAAAAAAACAUUAUUAAUUAUAUGAAUAAACUUUCGUAGGAUUCUUCUUAGUCAUAAAAAAAAAAUACUAAAUAGGAUUUUACCAAAAUAUAUGUAAAUAGUACUCUUUAUUCCUUUUUAAUUUUUAUUUUGUGACUUUUAAGCACUAAGACAAUCAAUAAAGUUAAUUAUUUUUAUAUUAUUAUUUAACUUUUUAAUAAUUUAUUAUUAAAUUUUAUUUUUUUUCUCAAUAAAUAAUUAAGAGUAUUAUUGAUAAAUUAAAUAGUAUGAUAUAAAGUAAAAUUAUGAAAAGAAGGAUUCACGUAAACUUAUAAAGCAAAGAGUUUGAUUGUUGGUUGAGUGAUAUAAAAAUUAAUUUUAAAUCAAUGAAUUUUAUAAAAUUAAUUUUAGUGAAAAGUUAGUUAAACAUAAAGUUGUUCAUGUUUAGAUAUAUUUAUAUAAAAAUCAAUUGAACAAUAAAUUGGAGUAUAAAAUUUAUAUUUGGAGUUAAAAAUUACAAGUUUACGUUUAAAAUAAAAAAUUACAAACUUAAGUUUUAAAUUAAAAUUCAUUUAAAAGAUAAAAUGAAUUAUACUCAACUAUAUUUAAAUAUAUCCAAAUCAAUAUUAAAUAUCUAAGAUUAAUUUUAAGAUAUCUAGACGCAAGGUAAAUCAAUUUUUUUUUCUUGAAGAUGGUAAUGGCAAUCAGCUCACCGAACAUAGUGAGUUAUGUCAUGUUACUAGAGACUAUUUUACUACUCUUUACCAUAACCCACAAAGCGUUCAUGCUCGUAUUUUGAAUGCUCUUUCACAUGUUAUUGAUGCAAAAGAUAAUGAUAAGUUGCUUGCUCUUUAACUAAUAGAAGAAUUCAAAGAAGCUGUUUUUUCUACGAAUGCAGAUAAUGUUAGAAUCAAGUUUGUUUGAAGAACUAUGAUCUUACUUGUUUUGAUGAUAACAAAAUCAAUUUGUGGGAAUAAUUUAAUGCACUAACGUUUUGAUUAACUAAGCAUGUACCAGGUCAAGAAUUUUAUAGGUUUUUAUGCCAUAUAAUCUGAUAAUUGGACUAAAACAAAUGAACAACAAAACUUUGCUUUUUUCUAAGUUUGACGAAAGCAUUCUAACACGUGCCUCUAGUGAUGCAAGUUACACUUUGUUUUGGUUGACUUCGAUAAUGCAAUCAAUGUUAUGGUUCUGGUGACUCUGGAAAUACAUGAUACGUUAUAUUUCGGUUGCCUCUGUUGUACACAAUUAUGCUCUGUUUGUCUGCCUAAUAAGCUUGAUAAGUGAUCGUCUGCCUCUGAUAAUCAUAUCAUCACAUCGCAUAUUUGAUCUUUGAUUGUAGUUUAUGAUGUAUGUUUUGAUGAAAGUCAAUGUUAUGAAGAAAACAAAGUAUUUGUGCAUCCUUUGAUGAACAUCUUGAAUUUACUACUUGUCUGAAGGUCCGUAAGAGAUGCUCUGAUCAUUGUAUCCUCUACUUCCUUGUCUUUAUAUCAAGAUACCUUGAAUCAAUUACAAUGAUCUAUUUUGGAAAGUUUCUAUGGCAAAACAAUGAUUUGUUUACAAUGAUCUACAAAUAAGUGUCUGAGGCUUAAUGGUUUGAAUCCAAGAUUUUAUCAGCAUUUUUGGUCUCUCUGUGGUAGUAAAAUUUAUCAAGAAUAUUGUGUUUGGCUUAUGACUAGUAUUUCCUAGUACAAUAAAUAUUACCAAUAUAGCUCUAAUCUCAAAAGGUGAUGAACAAAAGAUCAUGAAAGAUUGGCAACCUAUAGUUCUUCGUAAUGUGAUAUAUAAGAUUGUGGUAAGUGUUCUUGCAAACAAAUUAAAACAUGUUCUGCAUAAAUGUGUAUCUGAUAACCAAUCAACCUUUGUACCAAAUAGGUCCAUACUUGACAAUGCAAUGGCAACAAUUGAAAUUAUUCAUCAUAUGAAAACCAAUACUCGUGGUGAGUUGGUGACGUCACAUUGAAACUGGAUAUCGAUAAAGCUUAUGAUCACAUUGAUUUGGUUUACCUUCGAAAGGUGUUGACUACUUUGGGUUUUGCAAAUUAAUGGGUGAAUUGAAUUAUGUUAUGUGUCGAGUCAGUAGAGUACAAUGUCUUAGUGAAUAAUGACUGUGUUGGUCUUAUUAUCCCAAGAAGAAGUCUUUGAUAAGGUGAUCCAUUGUCGACGUAUCUAUUCAUCUUAUGUGUUGAAGGGUGAAACAUUGAGGUAACCUCUGUAGAGUCAAAGUGUAUUGUGAUGCCUCAGUUACUUCACACUUUUUGUUUGCAUAUGAUUGCUUAUUGUUCUUUAAAGCAUCUAUUAGAGAAACAUAAACUAUGAAAAAUAUUUUCUCAAUUUAUGAAGUCACGUUAGGUCAAUUUAUAAAUUUGCAAAAAUCUAAGGUGUUUUGUAGUAGAAAUGUGAACUGAAGACUUGAAAGGUAUGAUUACUAACCUUUUGGGUAUGUGCUCAAUAUUAGGGAAUGGAAAAUACUAGAGACUAUCGUUAAUGAUUGGUAUAAGUAAAACAAUACUCUUAGAUUCAUUAAAGACCGUGUAUGGUGGAAGAUCAACACAUGGUGUAAUAAAAGUCUCUUUUGAGCAGGUCGAUAAGUUUGAAUUAAAUCGGUUCUCAAAGCUAUUCCUGUUGGAACCAAGUUGGUUUUACAUUUAGAAUUUUGAUGUUAACAAAAGUAUUUUAUGAAAACAAUAUAUUUGACUUCAAAGAGUAUGAAAAAAGAUUCAUGUUUUUGAAGAAAAUCUAAAAUAAGAUUUGAUUCAAAUUUAUAAUUGAAGAAAAUCUAAAAUAAGAUUUGAUUCAAAUUUAUAAUUGAUGAAAAUCUAAAAUAAAAUUUUAUUCAUAUUUAUAAUUAAAGAAAAUCUUUGACCAAAUUGAAGAUAAGAUAUGGUCAAGAUUUGAAGAAGAUUUUAUUUGAAAAAUUUACAAACUCAAUCUACACAAAAUAGAAACAGAAUCAAUCUUCAGAAUUAAACAAGGACUAAAUUGAAGCCCAAAUUUUAACUAUAAAUAUACAUUCAAGGCUGAAGGAGAAAAGCAUCGAAAAACAUAAAAGAGUAACUCAAACUCAAAGUUCUCAAUUCAUCUUAGAGUUCAAAGAGAGAAACACUUGUUCAGGUUAGAAAUAUUUUCUGAGUGUUAUUUUCUUAGAGUGUGAGAGUUGUUAUUAUUAUCAACUUUGUUAGAAGCAACUACUCAAGUUCCAAAAUUGUGUAUCCAACCUGAUAGUGGUAUAGUUCAUUCUUCAAUCUGGGGUUGUUAGGAGAAAACUUGGUUUGUAGGAUCAAAGUGGUUAGUUCCUCAAAAGUAUGGGGGUUGUUAGGCUGUUUGAGAAGACUGACUUAGAGGGUCAUGUGCUUUGUAAUUCAAGGUAUUUGAAUUAGUAGAUUAAAGCCUUGUGAAUGAAGAGACUGAAUGUAACCAAGUAAGUGGUGAACCAGGAUAAAUAUAUGUGUCAAAUUAAUUAUAUUUUCAUUGUUUACUGCUUCUGAAUCCAAUUGCUUCUUAUUUGAGUAAUUCAUAAAAACCAACGAACCUUUAUCAAAUUCGUAAAAAUUUAUCAACUUUAUCAAACACAAUUCAACCACCCUUCUCUUGUUUGCACCUUCAAUUAUGUCCUAUGUAAUGAUCAUAUUCUGGCUACCUCCUGCUUUAGGGGAUGUGAUUAAAAAAAUGAUGAAUUCAUUUUGGUGGGGCAAAAAUGAAGGACAUGAUAGAGGCAUAAAUUGGCUAAAGUGGAACAAGCUCACCAUACAUAAACACGAUAGAGGUAUGAGUUUUAAAAUCACUAGUGCUUUCAAUCUCUCCAUGCUUGGUAAACAAGGUUUGAGGUUGCUAUCUAACAUGUACAACUUUGUCACUCAUCUUUUAAAAGUUGAAUACUUUCCCUAGAGUGAUUUUUUUGUCUACUAACAUUGGUCAGAAUCCAAGCUAUGUUUGGAGGAGUAUUUUGAGUUAUAAACCUCUUUUGCAGACGAGGUAUUGGUGGAGUGGUGGAAAUGGAUGUAGCAUCCCUUUGUAGAAUGAAAAUUGGCUAAGUGAUAGGUCUAUUCUUGUUAAACCACUAGGGGUGGAUGAUCAACUAGUAAAUGUUUGUGUUGAUAGUUUGAUUAUGCCUUAACAUAAAUAAUGGA